This 407-nucleotide ribosomal RNA is filed under the name uncultured bacterium. RNAcentral describes it as "bacterial SSU rRNA". It matches the Rfam family "Bacterial small subunit ribosomal RNA", at positions 355 to 776 of the family's 1533-position model. The record is from RNAcentral.
UGGGGAAUAUUGCGCAAUGGGGGAAACCCUGACGCAGCGACGCCGUGUGAAGGAUGAAGGUCUUAGGAUUGUAAACUUCUGUCGAGAGGAAAGAAUAAAUUGACGGUACCUCUCAAGAAAGCACCGGCUAACUCUGUGCCAGCAGCCGCGGUAAUACAGAGGGUGCAAGCGUUAUUCGGAAUUACUAGGUGUAAAGGGCGUGUAGGUGGUCUAGCAAGUUGGAUGUGAAAUCUCGUAGCUCAACUACGAGCCUGCAUCCAAAACUACUUGACUUGAGUAUGAGAGGGGAAAACGGAAUUUCUAGUGUAGCGGUGGAAUGCGUAGAUACUAGAAGGAACACCGAUGGCGAAAGCGGUUUUCUGGCUCAAUACUGACACUAAGGCGCGAAAGCUAGGGGAGCAAACAGG